UACGAAGGGUGCAAGCGUUACUCGGAAUUACUGGGCGUAAAGCGUGCGUAGGUGGUUUUUAAGUCCGUUGUGAAAGCCCUGGGCUCAACCUGGGAAUGGCAGUGGAUACUGGAAAGCUAGAGUGCGGUAGAGGGUAGUGGAAUUCCCGGUGUAGCAGUGAAAUGCGUAGAUAUCGGGAGGAACACCAGUGGCGAAGGCGGCGAUCUGGGCAGAUACUGACGCUGAGGUGCGAAAGCGUGGGAGCGAACCGG
This 251-nucleotide ribosomal RNA is filed under the name uncultured bacterium. Its description in RNAcentral is "partial 16S ribosomal RNA". It matches the Rfam family "Bacterial small subunit ribosomal RNA", at positions 524 to 776 of the family's 1533-position model. The record is from RNAcentral.